GACGAACGCUGGCGGCGUGCUUAACACAUGCAAGUCGAACGGAAAGGCCCUGCUUUUGUGGGGUGCUCGAGUGGCGAACGGGUGAGUAACACGUGAGUAACCUGCCCUUGACUUUGGGAUAACUUCAGGAAACUGGGGCUAAUACCGGAUAGGAGCUCCUGCUGCAUGGUGGGGGUUGGAAAGUUUCGGCGGUUGGGGAUGGACUCGCGGCUUAUCAGCUUGUUGGUGGGGUAGUGGCUUACCAAGGCUGUGACGGGUAGCCGGCCGGAGAGGGUGACCGGCCACAUUGGGACUGAGAUACGGCCCAGACUCCUACGGGAGGCAGCAGUGGGGAAUAUUGCACAAUGGGCGGAAGCCUGAUGCAGCAGCGCCGCGUGCGGGAUGACGGCCUUCGGGUUGUAAACCGCUUUCGCCUGUGACGAAGCGUGAGUGACGGUAAUGGGUAAAGAAGCACCGGCUAACUACGUG
RNAcentral lists this ribosomal RNA (468 nucleotides) under uncultured bacterium. RNAcentral's name for it is "partial 16S ribosomal RNA". It matches the Rfam family "Bacterial small subunit ribosomal RNA", at positions 28 to 507 of the family's 1533-position model. The record is from RNAcentral.